RNAcentral lists this ribosomal RNA (851 nucleotides) under uncultured archaeon. RNAcentral's name for it is "bacterial SSU rRNA". It matches the Rfam family "Archaeal small subunit ribosomal RNA", at positions 67 to 903 of the family's 1478-position model. The record is from RNAcentral.
AUGUAGAGAGCGCGGCGAACGGCUCAAUAACACGUAGUUAACCUACCCUCGGGAUGGGAAUAACCCCGGGAAACUGGGAUUAAUGCCCACUAGAUGAUUAUACCUGGAAUGGCUUAUCAUCGAAAGAGUCUGGAAACAUGCUUCCAGCGUCGCCCGAGGAUGGGACCGCGUCCGAUCAGGUAGUUGGUGGGGUAAUGGCCUACCAAGCCUAUAACCGGUACGGGCCCUGAGAGGGGGAGCCCGGAGAUGGAAACUGAGAAAAGGUUCCAGGCCCUACGGGGUGCAGCAGGCGCGAAACCUCCACAAUGCGCGAAAGCGUGAUGGGGUUAUCCCGAGUGCCGUCCGAUGAGGAUGGCUUUUAAUCGAUGUAAGGAUUCGAUAGAAUAAAGGGGGGGCAAGACUGGUGUCGGCCGCCGCGGUAAUACCAGCCCCCUGAGUGGUAAGGACGAUUAUUUGGCCUAAAGCGUUCGUAGCCGGCUUAUCAAGUCUUUUGUUAAAUCCAACGAUUCAAUCGUUGGGCCGCAAAAGAUACUGUUAUGCUAGAGGACGGGAGAGGUCGACGGUAGUCCAGGGGUAGGGGUGAAAUCCUAUAAUCCUUGGAGGACCACCAGUGGCGAAGGCGGUCGACUAGAACGUGCCUGACGGUGAGGGACGAAAGCUGGGGGAGCGAACCGGAUUAGAUACCCGGGUAGUCCCAGCUGUAAACGAUGCGGACUAGGUGUUGGGGCAGCCACGAGCUGCUCCAGUGCCACAAAGAAGUUGUUAAGCCCGCCGCCUGGGGAGCACGGCCGCAAGGCUGAAACUUAAAGGAAUUGGCGGGGGAGCACCACAAGGGGUGAAGGCUGCGGUUU